AGUGAACGCUGGCGGUAGGCCUAACGCAUGCAAGUCGAACCGCAGCACAGUAAGAGCUUGCUCUUACGGGUGGCGAGUGGCGGACGGGUGAGGAAUACAUCGGAAUCUACUUUUUCGUGGGGGAUAACGUAGGGAAACUUACGCUAAUACCGCAUACGACCUACGGGUGAAAGCAGGGGAUCUUCGGACCUUGCGCGAUUGAAUGAGCCGAUGUCGGAUUAGCUAGUUGGCGGGGUAAAGGCCCACCAAGGCGACGAUCCGUAGCUGGUCUGAGAGGAUGAUCAGCCACACUGGAACUGAGACACGGUCCAGACUCCUACGGGAGGCAGCAGUGGGGAAUAUUGGACAAUGGGCGCAAGCCUGAUCCAGCCAUACCGCGUGGGUGAAGAAGGCCUUCGGGUUGUAAAGCCCUUUUGUUGGGAAAGAAAAGCAGCAGGUUAAUACCCCGCUGUUCUGACGGUACCCAAAGAAUAAGCACCGGCUAACUUCGUG
RNAcentral lists this ribosomal RNA (492 nucleotides) under uncultured bacterium. Its description in RNAcentral is "partial 16S ribosomal RNA". It matches the Rfam family "Bacterial small subunit ribosomal RNA", at positions 29 to 507 of the family's 1533-position model. The record is from RNAcentral.